AGUCGUGUGGUCUAAUGGUUAUGAUUUCUCGUUCACAAAGUUGAACAACCUGUUACCGAGAAGGUUCCCGGUUCGAUCCCGGGCACGACUA
This is a non-coding RNA of Ascosphaera atra, 91 nucleotides long. Lineage: Eukaryota; Fungi; Ascomycota; Eurotiomycetes; Onygenales; Ascosphaeraceae. The record is from the annotation of a GenBank genome assembly.